This 643-nucleotide ribosomal RNA is filed under the name uncultured bacterium. RNAcentral's name for it is "bacterial SSU rRNA". It matches the Rfam family "Bacterial small subunit ribosomal RNA", at positions 8 to 649 of the family's 1533-position model. The record is from RNAcentral.
AGAGUUUGAUCCUGGCUCAGAUUGAACGCUGGCGGCAGGCCUAACACAUGCAAGUCGAGCGCGAAAGCACUUCGGUGUGAGUAGAGCGGCGGACGGGUGAGUAACGCGUAGGAAUCUACCCAGUAGUGGGGGACAACUCGGGGAAACUCGAGCUAAUACCGCAUACGCCCUACGGGGGAAAGCGGGGGACCUCCGGGCCUCGUGCUAUUGGAAGAGCUUGCGUUGGAUUAGCUUGUUGGUGAGGUAACGGCUCACCAAGGCGACGAUCCAUAGCUGGUCUGAGAGGAUGAUCAGCCACACCGGGACUGAGACACGGCCCGGACUCCUACGGGAGGCAGCAGUGGGGAAUAUUGCGCAAUGGGCGAAAGCCUGACGCAGCCAUGCCGCGUGUGUGAAGAAGGCCUUCGGGUUGUAAAGCACUUUCACUUGGGAAGAAAAGCUCGUAGCUAAUAUCUGCGAGCCGUGACAUUACCUUGAGAAGAAGCACCGGCUAACUCCGUGCCAGCAGCCGCGGUAAUACGGAGGGUGCGAGCGUUAAUCGGAAUUACUGGGCGUAAAGCGCGCGUAGGCGGUUUGUUAAGUCGGAUGUGAAAGCCCCGGGCUCAACCUGGGAAUUGCACCCGAUACUGGCCGACUGGAGUGC